This 88-nucleotide transfer RNA is filed under the name Ruminococcus flavefaciens. RNAcentral's name for it is "tRNA-Ser". It matches the Rfam family "tRNA". Rfam says of the family: Transfer RNA (tRNA) molecules are approximately 80 nucleotides in length. Their secondary structure includes four short double-helical elements and three loops (D, anti-codon, and T loops). Further hydrogen bonds mediate the characteristic L-shaped molecular structure. tRNAs have two regions of fundamental functional importance: the anti-codon, which is responsible for specific mRNA codon recognition, and the 3' end, to which the tRNAs corresponding amino acid is attached (by aminoacyl-tRNA synthetases). tRNAs cope with the degeneracy of the genetic code in two manners: having more than one tRNA (with a specific anti-codon) for a particular amino acid; and 'wobble' base-pairing, i.e. permitting non-standard base-pairing at the 3rd anti-codon position. Lineage: Bacteria; Bacillati; Bacillota; Clostridia; Eubacteriales; Oscillospiraceae. The record is from RNAcentral. RNAcentral also lists the same sequence under 3 other names.
GGAGAAAUACUCAAGAGGUCGAAGAGGCGCCCCUGCUAAGGGUGUAGGUCGGGCAACCGGCGCGAGGGUUCAAAUCCCUCUUUCUCCG